UCCAGAUAAGGAGCGGAAACAUAAUUAUGGAACUAAUUCAUACCAGACGGUACACAGUUGGCUGAAAAUUAAAUGUCUUAUAUUGCUGCCUAUUGGGCAACACUCAAAUGCCUGCAGCAGGCCAAGAUAACUGCAGAGGGGUCCAUCCUUCAUAGGGCAGUUUCAUUUGGUUCAAGACCCAUGACGAGUGUAACUGGCUUGUGAUCGGAAUUUAAGGUUUCUACGGACUCAAUGUAAAUGGGUACAACUUGGGCUGUUAUGGCCGUUAUGGCUGCCAGGGACUGUUUGUGCGUGGGGAGAGGCAUCUGUCGGUAAUCAUUUGAAACUCUAUCCCCAAACGUUCAAGUGGCAAAGAGUUUCAUUCAUGGGCGAUUCGUGGUCGCAGAUAUAGGGCAAUAUAAAUUGGGGUGCAACAUUUUGAAAGAGUGUGUAUAAAGUAGUUGAUUGUGUUGUGUCAGUGUCGUGAGAUCUUUGGAUCAGAUUUGGUCGGAUGUGUGGGACGUACCUGACGCCGAUUGUGCGUCUCUCUGUCCUGGUUGGGAUUUUACUGCUGCGACUUCAAAAGCUGUAAAGUGAGCACAGCAUCGAUCUCUUCCCGGAGACGUUCCUGUAUAUCCUGGUGCAAUGAUAGCUCGUAC
This is a long non-coding RNA of Cryptotermes secundus, 638 nucleotides long. RefSeq lists it as uncharacterized. The record is from RefSeq and is a predicted model, not a curated record. The transcript is spliced from 3 exons. Lineage: Eukaryota; Metazoa; Arthropoda; Insecta; Blattodea; Kalotermitidae.